AAGAUAUUGUGAAUAUAGUGGUAUCUGUAGUAACACCAAUUGUGGCACUCAUAGUAGCUAUCCCAACAUUUAUCAAGGUGUACGAGAAAUACAGAGAAAAAAGAGCAAUGAAGAAAGAUACACUUAUACCAACGACGUGUCCGAAAGAUACUUUACUAUUCAAUCGUGGCAGAGAGCUCAAGAUAACUAAAAACAAGAUAAAGAAAAUCGAAGCAAAUUUCAUAGUCCAGCCUACAGACAAGCAACUUACACAAAAUUGUUUAGGUA
Molecule: long non-coding RNA, 267 nt
Organism: Ruditapes philippinarum (Manila clam)
Lineage: Eukaryota; Metazoa; Mollusca; Bivalvia; Venerida; Veneridae
Exons: 4
Source: RefSeq, a predicted model, not a curated record